This 253-nucleotide ribosomal RNA is filed under the name uncultured bacterium. RNAcentral's name for it is "partial 16S ribosomal RNA". It matches the Rfam family "Bacterial small subunit ribosomal RNA", at positions 524 to 776 of the family's 1533-position model. The record is from RNAcentral.
UACGGAGGAUGCAAGCGUUAUCCGGAAUGAUUGGGCGUAAAGGGUCCGCAGGUGGCAUUGUAAGUCUGCUGUUAAAGAGUCACGCUCAACGUGAUAAAGGCGGUGGAAACUACAAAGCUAGAGUGUGGUCGGGGCAGAAGGAAUUCCUGGUGUAGCGGUGAAAUGCGUAGAUAUCAGGAAGAACACCGGUGGCGAAGGCGUUCUGCUAGGCCAAUACUGACACUGAGGGACGAAAGCUAGGGGAGCGAAUGGG